RNAcentral lists this ribosomal RNA (482 nucleotides) under uncultured bacterium. Its description in RNAcentral is "partial 16S ribosomal RNA". It matches the Rfam family "Bacterial small subunit ribosomal RNA", at positions 30 to 507 of the family's 1533-position model. The record is from RNAcentral.
AUUGAACGCUGGCGGCAUGCUUUACACAUGCAAGUCGAACGGUAACAGGCCGCAAGGUGCUGACGAGUGGCGAACGGGUGAGUAAUGCAUCGGAACGUGCCCAGUCGUGGGGGAUAACUACUCGAAAGAGUAGUUAAUACCGCAUACGAUCUAUGGAUGAAAGCGGGGGACCGUAAGGCCUCGCGCGAUUGGAGCGGCCGAUGUCAGAUUAGGUAGUUGGUGGGGUAAAGGCUCACCAAGCCAACGAUCUGUAGCUGGUCUGAGAGGACGACCAGCCACACUGGGACUGAGACACGGCCCAGACUCCUACGGGAGGCAGCAGUGGGGAAUUUUGGACAAUGGGCGCAAGCCUGAUCCAGCAAUGCCGCGUGCAGGAAGAAGGCCUUCGGGUUGUAAACUGCUUUUGUACGGAACGAAACGGCUCUGGUUAAUACCCGGGGCUAAUGACGGUACCGUAAGAAUAAGCACCGGCUAACUACGUG